CAGGAAGCCCUGAGGCGGACCUACAUCCCGCAACAGGCCCAGGAACGCCUCUGUGUGCCAUUGGUGAAAGUGAAAAACGUGUCCAAAGACCGGAAAAUCUGGGCUUCGCGACUAGAAUUGCUGCCUUUGCCAUCCUGACUUGGAUAAGUGAAAGAAACCAGAUGGAUGGAUGUGAGGUUCUGUUGGCCUUGAACCCCCAGAUGCAGAGACAACAGGCGUUGAACAGCUGAGUAGCGCCUACGUCGGUGGAGCAGCCCGGUGACCCCGUCUGCGCCAAGAGGACAGGACCCGUUGAACGGAGUGCUGGAGUUUGACUGGCAGGAAGAACUUAAUGUAACGGAGGCCAGGUCUGGACCAUGUGGACCUUGGCCAACUAGUACUGGACAUGGAGUUGACGGCCUUCCAGCUGGAGGUUGGAGUCCAAGGACAGAACCGAGCGAGUUACACGGGCCAAUCAAAAUGGAGGCAAGUGGAGUCA
Entelurus aequoreus (snake pipefish) is the source of this 478-nucleotide long non-coding RNA. RefSeq lists it as uncharacterized. The transcript is spliced from 3 exons. The record is from RefSeq and is a predicted model, not a curated record. NCBI's taxonomy places the organism in Eukaryota, Metazoa, Chordata, Actinopteri, Syngnathiformes, Syngnathidae.